AUGUACGGCGCCAUGAAGGACCAGGCGGUCGCGCUGGUCCGGCGGGCGGUGCAGGAGGACGACGCCGGCGACUACGCGGCCGCGCUCCAGCACUACGUGCAGGCGCUCGACUACUUCGCGGCGCACCUCAGGUACGAGCACAACCCCAGGGUCCGCGACGCCAUCGCCGCCAGGCUCCCGGGGUACGUCGCCCGCGCCGAGGAGAUCCGCGCGCUCCUCGACGGCAACCCCGCCCCCUGUGGACCCGCCGGCAACGGCGUGGCGGCGGCGACCAGGAAGAAGGAUCCCCGCGGCGGCGGGGACGAGGACGACGAGCGUGCCUCGGAGCGGACCAAGCUCCGCGCGGGGCUCCACUCGGCGAUCGUCUCCGAGAAGCCCAACGUGAGGUGGAGCGACGUCGCCGGGCUGGACGGCGCCAAGCAGGCGCUGCAGGAGGCCGUCGUGCUCCCCGUCAGGUUCCCGCAGUUCUUCACCGGCAAGCGGAGGCCGUGGAGGGCGUUCCUCCUGUACGGGCCGGCGGGGACGGGGAAGUCCUACUUGGCCAAGGCCGUCGCGACGGAGGCCGACUCCACCUUCUUCAGUAUAUCCUCGUCGGAUCUUCUUUCGAAGUGGAUGGGAGAAAGCGAAAAGCUGGUCGCAAACCUGUUCGAAAUGGCUCGUGAAAAUGCCCCCUCCAUCAUCUUCAUCGAUGAAAUUGAUUCUUUGUGUGGCCAACGUGGAGAAGGUAAUGAAAGCGAGUCUUCUAGGAGGGUUAAGACGGAGCUGCUCGUCCAAAUGCAGGGUGUUGGCCAUAACGAUGACAAGGUCCUUGUUCUUGCUGCUACAAACACUCCAUAUGCUCUGGAUCAGGCCGUCAGGCGGCGUUUUGACAAACGCAUCUACAUUCCACUGCCUGACCUUAAAGCUAGACAACGCAUGCUCAAGGUCCAUCUCGGCGACACCCCUCACAGCCUGACCAAGAGCGAUUUCGAGAGCGUGGCUCACCGGACAGAUGGCUUCUCCGGCUCGGACAUCGCCGUCUGCGUGAAGGACGUGCUGUUUGAGCCCAUACGCAAGACGCAGGACGCCAUGUUCUUCUUCAGGUCAGAGGACGGCGGCGGCGGCACGUGGACGCCGUGCGGGCCAAAGCAACCAGGGGCCGUGCAGACCACCAUGGAGGAGCUCGCGGCGGAAGGCAUGGCUGACCAGAUUACCCCGCCUCCGAUCUCCAGGACAGACUUCGACAAGGUCCUUGCGAGGCAGAGACCGACGGUGAGCAAGGCGGAGCUGGGAGUGUAUACAAGGUUCACCAAAGAGUUUGGGGAGGAGGGCUGA
This 1314-nucleotide ribosomal RNA is filed under the name Triticum aestivum (bread wheat). RNAcentral's name for it is "partial small subunit ribosomal RNA". Lineage: Eukaryota; Viridiplantae; Streptophyta; Magnoliopsida; Poales; Poaceae. The record is from RNAcentral.